Molecule: ribosomal RNA, 421 nt
Filed under: uncultured bacterium
Lineage: Bacteria
Description: bacterial SSU rRNA
Rfam family: Bacterial small subunit ribosomal RNA
Source: RNAcentral
AGCUGAUCCAGCAUGCCGCGUGUGUGAGAAGGCCUUCGGGUUGUAAAGCACUUUUGUCCGGAAAGAAAUCCUUGGCUCUAAUACAGUCGGGGGAUGACGGUACCGGAAGAAUAAGCACCGGCUAACUACGUGCCAGCAGCCGCGGUAAUACGUAGGGUGCGAGCGUUAAUCGGAAUUACUGGGCGUAAAGCGUGCGCAGGCGGUUUGCUAAGACCGAUGUGAAAUCCCCGGGCUCAACCUGGGAACUGCAUUGGUGACUGGCAGGCUAGAGUAUGGCAGAGGGGGGUAGAAUUCCACGUGUAGCAGUGAAAUGCGUAGAGAUGUGGAGGAAUACCGAUGGCGAAGGCAGCCCCCUGGGCCAAUACUGACGCUCAUGCACGAAAGCGUGGGGAGCAAACAGGAUUAGAUACCCCCGUAGUCA